CACACAUUAAAAGGAAAAGUUUGAUCAUUUUCUCAAGUUCACUCUUCCAAUUGAUUUUGCCCAUAUCUUCUUCUCUUUUUACUUCAUUUGGGCUUCUUUUGGGUUCUCUACGUAUAUAAUUUUGCAAUUCAAUAGCUGUUGUGGGUUAAAUCUGCGAGUGUGAUUUGAAAUUUCAUUGGCUUUAGACAUGUUUUUGGAGAGUAUUCUCUGCAAAUCAGAUAGUUUGAUGAAGUUGGCAUUAAGACCUCAAUAUUUAUGCUGUUUCAUUGGUCCUGAUGAGUUGAGCCCUGAGAUGCUAAUGCUCUAUCAAAAGUUCUAGGCAUGUUUAUCUUCGUUUUCAGGGCCAUUCGGCUGUAUCAGUAGAUGAUACAUAGAAGAUCAUAUCCUGCAGGGAACAACAGAAGAGGCUAGGUGCACUUCAGACGGAACUGGGCAAAACCAGUCAGAAAGGUUUUAUAUCGAAGCAUCUACUGGUUAAAAAUGAGUCGGAUUCAAAGCAAAAGCUUCUAGCUGUUAUAGGUGUCUACAAAUUUUGGCAUCAAGAAAAACAGAGAUGCGAUUCGCAAAAGCAUGGACACCCAUUGGAUACCAUUCUUUAAUGCUCUGAUGGGAGAAGCUGAUUUUGGAUUCAGUGGGUUGACGAACAUCAAAGUACACAGAGAUCUCUCAUCUGUAUGAGAAGUAUAAAAAUUAAAGUGAGCUACAUGCUUUAGGAUUGACACUAGCAUGCCUUCUUUUCUCCCUCCCCUUUUCUGGAUAACUUUUUUUUUUAUUUGUGGCCAGUGAAAUUGUUGAAGCUCUGUAGAUAUCCAGACUCUGUCUGGAAAUUUGGCUUUGAAUGGAGCACAGUAGCUUUCGUGAUUUACAAAAAGGAAACGAAGAAAAGAUCUUUUUUUUUUGUUGGAAUGGAAAUGAAUAUGUUCUUUGUAGAACUUCUUGGAUUCCUGGAUACUAGCAUAUGAGUAGAAUGUAGUGCAGUUGAAAAUGAGUAUGGAGUAUGAGCAAAUCUUGAUUAAUUUGACUUGUUUGAGUGUUGGUUUUUCUUUUUCUCUCUCCUGUGGGAUAUGAGAUAAAAAUUGUAGAAUGAGAAGUAUACAGUGUUUGAUUUAGUUUUGCGUAGUUGAA
Molecule: long non-coding RNA, 1125 nt
Organism: Lycium barbarum (goji berry)
Lineage: Eukaryota; Viridiplantae; Streptophyta; Magnoliopsida; Solanales; Solanaceae
Exons: 4
Source: RefSeq, a predicted model, not a curated record